AUCUUCCACAAUGGACGAAAGUCUGAUGGAGCAACGCCGCGUGAGUGAAGAAGGUUUUCGGAUCGUAAAACUCUGUUGUAAGGGAAGAAUAAGUGCAGUAGUAACUGGCUGCACCUUGACGGUACCUUAUUAGAAAGCCACGGCUAACUACGUGCCAGCAGCCGCGGUAAUACGUAGGUGGCAAGCGUUGUCCGGAUUUAUUGGGCGUAAAGCGCGCGCAGGUGGUUUCUUAAGUCUGAUGUGAAAGCCCCCGGCUUAACCGGGGAGGGUCAUUGGAAACUGGGAGACUUGAGUGCAGAAGAGGAAAGUGGAAUUCCAAGUGUAGCGGUGAAAUGCGUAGAGAUUUGGAGGAACACCAGUGGCGAAGGCGACUUUCUGGUCUGUAACUGACACUGAGGCGCGAAAGCGUGGGGAGCAAACAGG
This 423-nucleotide ribosomal RNA is filed under the name uncultured bacterium. RNAcentral describes it as "bacterial SSU rRNA". It matches the Rfam family "Bacterial small subunit ribosomal RNA", at positions 361 to 776 of the family's 1533-position model. The record is from RNAcentral.